Molecule: ribosomal RNA, 559 nt
Filed under: uncultured fungus
Lineage: Eukaryota; Fungi
Description: eukaryotic LSU rRNA
Rfam family: 5.8S ribosomal RNA (bases 197-350)
Source: RNAcentral
CUCCGUAGGUGAACCUGCGGAGGGAUCAUUACACAAAUAUGAAGGCGGGCUGGAACCUCUCGGGGUUACAGCCUUGCUGAAUUAUUCACCCUUGUCUUUUGCGUACUUCUUGUUUCCUUGGUGGGUUCGCCCACCACUAGGACAAACAUAAACCUUUUGUAAUUGCAAUCAGCGUCAGUAACAAAUUAAUAAUUACAACUUUCAACAACGGAUCUCUUGGUUCUGGCAUCGAUGAAGAACGCAGCGAAAUGCGAUAAGUAGUGUGAAUUGCAGAAUUCAGUGAAUCAUCGAAUCUUUGAACGCACAUUGCGCCCUUUGGUAUUCCAAAGGGCAUGCCUGUUCGGGCGUCAUUUGUACCCUCAAGCUUUGCUUGGUGUUGGGCGUCUUGUCUCUAGCUUUGCUGGAGACUCGCCUUAAAGUAAUUGGCAGCCGGCCUACUGGUUUCGGAGCGCAGCACAAGUCGCACUCUCUAUCAGCAAAGGUCUAGCAUCCAUUAAGCCUUUUUUUCAACUUUUGACCUCGGAUCAGGUAGGGAUACCCGCUGAACUUAAGCAUAUCA